Molecule: microRNA precursor, 207 nt
Organism: Oryza sativa Japonica Group (Japanese rice)
Lineage: Eukaryota; Viridiplantae; Streptophyta; Magnoliopsida; Poales; Poaceae
Rfam family: MIR812 microRNA precursor family
Source: Rfam
AAAAAGGCAAACCCUGGGUUUACGUGUCCAAUUUUGACUGUUCAUCUUAUAUAAAUUUUUUUUAUAAUUCAUAUUUUUAUUGUUGUUAGAUGAUAAAACAUGAUUAAUAUUUUAUGCGUGACUUGUCUUUUUAAUUUUUUUUUCAUAAUUUUUUUAAAUAAGACGGACGGUCAAAUGUUGGGCACGGAAAAUAGGGUUUGUCUUUUU